CAAAAUGGCUCUGCUGCAGAGACAGCAGAAGUAGAAGAGAGAUUUGAUGUAUGGUUUUUUCCUGGUAUUGUGAUGAUGUACAGCGUAGUUACUUGUCCUCUGGCUUAUAUAUUUAUUUUAUUAUGUGCCUUUUCGAGUCCUGCCGAAUCUGCAAAAAGCGAUAUUGAACUAGAUGCCAAAGCACAGCAUAACCAUCAGAUUGACAGCUUAAAUUUACUUUUGUAUACAUUCUUACUUACUCUGACAGUGUUAACCAUAUGGCUGUUCAAACACAGAAGAUUUAGAUUUAUCCACGAGACUGGACUAGCUGUGAUUUAUGGCCUUAUUGUGGGAGCUCUUAUACGAUAUGCUGGAAAUGCCAGUUCUGUUGUACACAUGACUGUUGUACCUGAGAAAGACAAAUAUAAUCUGUCUUUGCCUCCGGAUUCCUUAUGGCUACGUUUUCCAAACAAAGGAGGGUCACCAAAUGUUCCAAACAAGACGUAUGCCUAUACAUUCAGAGGAGAAAUUGAUGUUGAUGACAGUGAAAUUGAACUUAAGGCUACAUUUGAUCCAGAAAUAUUUUUCAACAUUAUAUUACCACCAAUCAUUUUUCAUGCUGGUUAUAGCUUGAAAAGGAAAUACUUCUUUCGGAACCUUGGGGCUAUUUUGACUUAUGCACUGAUUGGCACAACACUGUCGUCGUUUGCUGUGGGUGCUUUGAUGUAUGGUUUCAUCCAGCUGCGGCCCUACCUGAAGUCAAGUUUCACGUUUUUGGAUACUUUAUACUUUGGUGCCCUCAUUUCUCCAACAGAUCCUUUGACAAUAUUAGCCAUUUUCAACGACCUUCAUGUUGAUGUCAAUUUGUAUGCACUUGUUUUUGGUGAAAGUGUCCUAAAUGAUGCAGUUGCUAUUGUUUUAAGUGGAGCUAUACAAAAUUAUGGAGAAAGGUACCAAUCAGGAUCAGGAGGUUUUGAAACUGAUGCAUUCUUUAGAGCAUUGGGCGAUUUCUUCGUGAUUUUCAGCUUAUCUCUCCUGAUUGGAACUGUCAUGGGAUGCAUUACAGCCUUGAUAUCCAAGUUCACGAGGGUGAGGGAUUUUCCUCUCCUGGAAUCAGCUUUGUUUGUGCUGAUGUCAUACAGCACGUUUCUUAUCGCAGAGGCAUCUGACCUCACAGGUAUUGUGGCUGUCCUGUUUUGUGGAAUCUGUCAAGCACAUUAUACCUACAACAAUUUGUCCGUAGACUCUCGAACAAGGACAAAGAAGUUGUUUGAACUGCUCAACUUUCUUGCUGAAAAUUUUAUAUUUGUAUACAUAGGUGUUUCUAUGUUCACAUUCCCAAAACAUCAUUUUGAUCCUGGAUUCAUCAUUGUGGGAUUUUUAUGUGCAAUGGUGGGUCGAGCAGUCAACAUUUAUCCUCUAUCAUUCCUUUUAAAUCUAGGCAGGAAACCAAAGAUCGCAUAUAACUUUCAGCAUAUGUUGUUUUUUGCAGGUCUGAGGGGAGCUAUGUCUUUCGCAUUGGCCAUCCGAAAUACUGUGUCAGAUGCAAGACAAGCCAUGUUGACAACUACUUCACUGAUAGUUAUCAUCACAGUAAUAGUGCAAGGUGGUGCAACAAUGCAAUUGUUGACAUGGUUCAAGAUACCUGUCGGGGUGGAAGAAGAAGUAGAAAUGCUUCCCUAUACAGGAGUUAGAAAUGUAUACAAUUCAAUGGGGACAACAUUGAGGGAGGACACAUCGGAGCAGCCUCGUGAGAGCAACAAAGUCAAUGAAAAAGCUUGGCUUGCUCGUAUUUGGGGGAACUUUGAUGUAAGAUAUAUGAAACCAUUGUUGACACAUGCACGUCCCACACUAUUGGAAACCCUUCCUGUUUGCUGUAAUCCUCUCGCAAGAGUUUUGACAACAACUGAGCAAAUGACACAGGAUAAUCGUUCCAGAUCACAAAUGGAUUCUGAUUCCGAUUUGUGUAUAGAUGACAAUGAUGUCAGUUACACAAAUCACCGUCGAUCCAGUGGUGCGAGAAACUUUUACGUAUCUAGUCCACAACAAACUGGGAACCGCCUUUAAUUGUGAAGUUUGAGAAGUUCUGUUGUGCUCUUAUGCUGAAGCAGAAAUGGGCUUUGUGAUUCUGUUUUAUAAUAGUGACAGUGUGACAAUAUCUGGUGAUUUAGGCCUUGGCAGUCGUGUAGUGGACACACGUGUUCGAAUCCCUGGACCUGGUGGAAAUAAUAUUUAAUCUGAUUAGGAAGUAUCAGGAAGGCUGUGAAAUAAGAAGAACACAACAGUAUUGUUUUGUGAUUAUUCCUAGAAUAUAAAAUGUGUGUAUCCUGCGUGAAGUUCUCUAAGCAAAGACCAAACAGACAUGUUAGAUACAGUUCACUGCACUAUAAUUUUGCCUUCAACUGUGCUUGAUAUCAGUUCAGAAGUGUUUCAUAACAUGUUCUGUAAACAACUGCAUGUGAAAUGUUGCCUCACUCUCAUUUGUUAGGGAAAUUUGUGUACUUGCAGCUUGUGAUUAAUGCUGUUAUACUUGGCAACUGAAUUUGCACACUGUUGCUCAUGUAGCUCAGUACAAGAAUCAUUUAAGAACUCUAAAACAUUUAUCACACAAUUUAUUGGAAACAAAAUUAAUAUAAUUCAAAAGUGUUAAAGUUUGUUUUACUAAAAUAUUCUUCUUUAUCAUGAACACAUUUUUAUCACUUAUAAUUAAAAAUAUCUAUUAACCAUACUUUACUCUGUGUUGUCAGCUAAUGUUUGUUAUAACAGACAUGAAAAUAUGAAAAAUAUGUCAGGCAGCAAAAUAGAAAGAAAACUCUGAGUCAUUCGAAAAUACAUUCUUAUUAAAGUAUUGAUUCUGGUGGGGUUUUGUCAUCUGCAAUGUGAUAUGUGCAAAGAAAGUAUCAAGAAGUUUCUUCGUGAAUAUUUAAUGACUUUGGAAAUAUAUGACAGUUGUGCUGGAUCAGAAAAACAUAAUUUCAUCUGUAAUACUGCAUUAAGUCUUCUUUUUUCAUUUGUGAAGGUGUAAUAUAAAUCCUAAAUUGGAUGUUAGUCAGUAUUAAAGGCUGAUUUAAUUUUCUUAUGUAUUUCUCUCAUUGAGGAGACAUUUUAUAUAUUUCACUGUACUAGCAGAAAGAGGCUGCAUGCAGCUCACUCAUGUCAUAAUAGAUGAAUAAUGCCAAAGUUUAUUUUAUUUAUUUAUUUCUUUUUUUUUCCUACUGUAGUUUCCAUCACCAGCAGUUUUAAUUUACAUUA
This is an RNA transcript of Schistocerca nitens (vagrant locust), 3231 nucleotides long. It is a transcript of the gene named sodium/hydrogen exchanger 7, with no coding region annotated. The transcript is spliced from 16 exons. Lineage: Eukaryota; Metazoa; Arthropoda; Insecta; Orthoptera; Acrididae. The record is from RefSeq and is a predicted model, not a curated record.